UAGGGAAUCUUCGGCAAUGGACGGAAGUCUGACCGAGCAACGCCGCGUGAGUGAAGAAGGUUUUCGGAUCGUAAAGCUCUGUUGUUAGAGAAGAACGUUGGUAGGAGUGGAAAAUCUACCAAGUGACGGUAACUAACCAGAAAGGGACGGCUAACUACGUGCCAGCAGCCGCGGUAAUACGUAGGUCCCGAGCGUUGUCCGGAUUUAUUGGGCGUAAAGCGAGCGCAGGCGGUUCUUUAAGUCUGAAGUUAAAGGCAGUGGCUUAACCAUUGUACGCUUUGGAAACUGUAGGACUUGAGUGCAGAAGGGGAGAGUGGAAUUCCAUGUGUAGCGGUGAAAUGCGUAGAUAUAUGGAGGAACACCGGUGGCGAAAGCGGCUCACUGGUCUGUAACUGACGCUGAGGCUCGAAAGCGUGGGGAGCAAACAGG
Molecule: ribosomal RNA, 429 nt
Filed under: Bacillota bacterium
Lineage: Bacteria; Bacillati; Bacillota
Description: Firmicutes bacterium partial 16S ribosomal RNA
Rfam family: Bacterial small subunit ribosomal RNA
Source: RNAcentral